Arabidopsis lyrata subsp. lyrata is the source of this 525-nucleotide long non-coding RNA. RefSeq lists it as uncharacterized. The transcript has 4 exons. Lineage: Eukaryota; Viridiplantae; Streptophyta; Magnoliopsida; Brassicales; Brassicaceae. The record is from RefSeq and is a predicted model, not a curated record.
GCGAUUUCGAAUUAAUCAUCAAAUCCGGCUCCAGAUUUCAACAGCUUCGGAAUCGAUUAAACCGGAGAAACAAUCGCGAAUCGAUUCAGAUGGUAUUUAACGAGAAGAUAUUUCAAACUCACAAGGAGUCUAAUUACAACGUAAUGCUAAGUGUAAGUAUUAAGAAUUUUGUUCCAAAGAAAGCACCACGACCAGCUCCAACCAUCAAGCUUUUCAUUGUUCGUAAUUUGGGCAUGGACCGUAGAUUGAUGAGAACGUGCCUACAGGCGUUAGCAUAACUUCAAACGUUAUCAUAUGCUGACAUGCAAGAAAGAAUGAGGACAAUGAGCAGUGAAGGUACGUAGACAACUUCUUUCUUUUCUAUGAAACGUUGGACUCCUUUAUUUUAAUUGCAUUUAGUUACAAGCAAUUGAAUCUAGGAUUCUUAUUAAUAUAUAUAAAUGUAUACUCUUUAUCUCUCCAAGUGACAAAAUGAUUGUAAAAGACUCUUGGGUGACUAUAAUAAGAGGAAGACUUUAUACCAGA